AACACUUCUGCGUGUACAUAGUAAACCCCCAUCCACAUUCAACCCGGCUGAGUUUCCUGGGGCCUGAACCGGGAUGUCUGCCGCUGUAUUCAGCUUCUUACUAGAAGAAAAUACUAAUGUCAGGUGAGAAAAUGAAGGCACGGAGAAGACAAUGUUCUCUCGGUCGCAUAACUGGUCUUUGGGUCAAUUCUUUCAACCAAUUGCCAAUUGGAAAAUCUUCGAAUUCACCUAUGACCUGGAAGCUCCUAGUUCAAGUUGUCCUGCUUUUCUGGACCAAACCAAUGUACAUCUUACAAGUAUUGACUGAUGUCUUCUGUCUCCCUAAAACGUAUAAAACCAAGUCAUGGCCUGAACCACUUUGGGCACAUGUUCUCAGGAUCUCCUGAGGCUGUGUCAUGGACAUGUCCCUAACCUUGGCAAAAUAAACUUCUAAACUGAUGAAGACCUCUCUCAAAUACUUUUUGGUUUACAGCCCUGACAAUAUUUCAGGAAGGAAGAAACUCCUUCUUAGAUGUGAUGCACAUAAUGAAAUCUCUAUUUAAACUAGUGUAAAACUUAAUUGAGUUGAUAUAGUACUAUCCAAUAGAAGUAAAUUACAAGCCACAUAGAAAUUUAAACGUUUCUAGUAGACACAUUUUUAAAAAGUAAAACUAAGUUAUAUUAAUUUUAACAAUAUGCUUUAAUUCAAUAUAUCUAAAAUAUUAUUUUGACAGGUAAUAAAUAUAAAAAAUUGAGAUAUUUUUCAUUUAAAAAAUUCAAAAUCUUCAAAUUCUAGUGUAUAUUUUAUACUUGUAGGAAAUUGUAAUUCAGACAUGAAUUCAUCUCAAUUUCAAGUGUUCAAAAGCCAAACAUGGCUAAUAGCAAUCAUAAUGGACAGUGCAGUUUUAGAACCUGGACCUAGUCUUUUGCCAUGCCUCUGAAUAUGUUC
This 928-nucleotide long non-coding RNA is filed under the name Papio anubis (olive baboon). RNAcentral's name for it is "lncRNA (ENSPANG00000048465.1)". Lineage: Eukaryota; Metazoa; Chordata; Mammalia; Primates; Cercopithecidae. The record is from RNAcentral.